RNAcentral lists this long non-coding RNA (468 nucleotides) under Parus major (Great Tit). RNAcentral's name for it is "lncRNA (ENSPMJG00000012835.1)". The record is from RNAcentral. Lineage: Eukaryota; Metazoa; Chordata; Aves; Passeriformes; Paridae.
AAAACCACUUUCAUCUCUGUUGAUUCUUCUAAACUUCUUAAUGACUGUGUCAGCUUCCUAUAAUUGUUCCUCCAGUAUAGGAUUUCCUCCAUCCCCUCCUACCAGCUCAGGCAAUGUCCUUCUGGUUUAUGCUUUAAAAUACUUGGACACACCACACAGACUAAAAGAAGAAACCAGCAUAUAUUGAAUGCAGAUAAUCUUAAAAGCAAAUGGGAAAAACAGACACCUGAACUGUACUUGCAUUUGUUAUGCUUGAUCAGGAUCUGUGAGCAGUCUGUUGGCUUUAAAUGGUUGCCUUAUGAUGACGUCUCAGGAAAAGGAAAAGGAAGCAUGAGAACACUUAUCACAGAGGAUGGAAAUUCUCCAAUGAGAAGAGCUGGAAAAAAGUCAAUGGUGAAACCAUUGCACUCUGCCCUUGGCCACCUAUACAGAAUAUCUGAUAGAAACAGUGUCAACCUGAGAUAUUAA